RNAcentral lists this non-coding RNA (99 nucleotides) under Streptomyces brevispora. Lineage: Bacteria; Bacillati; Actinomycetota; Actinomycetes; Kitasatosporales; Streptomycetaceae. The record is from RNAcentral.
GAGAGCCCGUUGCGGUGUGAGCCGCACGGCGGGUUCGGAGAGCGGCCUGAGGAAACGGACCAGGAGCAAUCCCGGCACCGCGCCUCAGGUCGACUCACC